This 440-nucleotide ribosomal RNA is filed under the name uncultured bacterium. RNAcentral's name for it is "partial 16S ribosomal RNA". It matches the Rfam family "Bacterial small subunit ribosomal RNA", at positions 338 to 795 of the family's 1533-position model. The record is from RNAcentral.
CCUACGGGAGGCAGCAGUGGGGAAUAUUGCACAAUGGGGGGAACCCUGAUGCAGCGACGCCGCGUGAGUGAAGAAGUAUUUCGGCAUGUAAAGCCCUAUCGGCAGGGAAGAAAAUGACGGUAUCUGACUAAUAAGCCCCGGCUAACUACGUGCCAGCAGCCGCGGUAAUACGUAGGGGGCAAGCGUUAUUCGGAGUUACUGGGCGGAAAGGGAGCGCAGACGGCAGUGCAAGUCUGGGGUGAAAGGCGGGGGCCCAACCCCCGGACUGCACUGGAAACUGUAAGGCUGGAGUGCAGGAGAGGUAAGCGGAAUUCCUGGUGUAGCGGUGAAAUGCGUAGAUAUUAGGAGGAACACCAGUGGCGAAGGCGGCUUACUGGACUGCAACUGACGUUGAGGCUCGAAAGCGUGGGGAGCAAACAGGAUUAGAUACCCUUGUAGUC